CCUACGGGUGGCAGCAGUGAGGAAUAUUGGUCAAUGGCCGAGAGGCUGAACCAGCCAAGUCGCGUGAGGGAAGACGGCCCUACGGGUUGUAAACCUCUUUUUUCGGGGAGCAAAGCGAGUCACGUGUGACUCAUUGCGAUUACCCGAAGAAAAAGCAUCGGCUAACUCCGUGCCAGCAGCGCCGGUAAUACGGAGGAUGCGAGGGGUAGCCGGAUUUAUUGGGUUUAAGGGGUGCGCAGGGGGAGGUGCAAGUCAGCGGUAAAAUUGCGGGGCUCAACCCCGUACUGCCGUUGAAACUGCAUGCCUUGAGUGCGCGAGAAGGAUGCGGAAUGCGUGGUGUAGCGGUGAAAUGCAUAGAUAUAACGCAGAACUCCGAUUGCGAAGGCAGCAUACCGGCGCGCAACUGACGCUCAUGCACGAAAGCGUGGGUAUCGAACAGGAUUAGAUACCCUAGUAGUC
RNAcentral lists this ribosomal RNA (459 nucleotides) under uncultured bacterium. RNAcentral describes it as "partial 16S ribosomal RNA". It matches the Rfam family "Bacterial small subunit ribosomal RNA", at positions 338 to 795 of the family's 1533-position model. The record is from RNAcentral.